RNAcentral lists this transfer RNA (74 nucleotides) under Streptomyces sp. 130. Its description in RNAcentral is "tRNA-Gly". It matches the Rfam family "tRNA". From Rfam's summary of the family: Transfer RNA (tRNA) molecules are approximately 80 nucleotides in length. The record is from RNAcentral. Lineage: Bacteria; Bacillati; Actinomycetota; Actinomycetes; Kitasatosporales; Streptomycetaceae.
GCGGGUGUAGUUUAAUGGUAGAACAUGAGCUUCCCAAGCUCAGAGCGCGAGUUCGAUUCUCGUCACCCGCUCCG